CUCCUCCUAUUCCGGCGAAGGUCGCCACCGCUUCGACCACCACCACCAGGCGCCUCUCCUUUUCUCCUUCUAAAACUCUCUCUCGCGAUCUUCAAUACGCGCACACACAAAGAGAUACCGUCCCACCAUUCUUCUUAAAUCCUCCGCCACCGCCCCCUUUAUAUUCCCGCCGGGCCGCCGCCGUCAGCCUUGUCGUCUCUCGUCUCUUGUUCUCUGACUCGCGUUACAAUAUCUCUUUGAAACUUUGGAUCCCCAAAUCUGCCACUGCCUCUUUCCUCAAUUUCCAGUGACGGCCUCCACCUCUUCCCUCGAUUUCCAGCGACUGAUUUCUCCUUCAAUUUCAACGAAGGCCACCACCUUUACUCUCUCACGGUCAGAAAAAUAACAAUGGCGAGUGAAGCCGCCGUCGGUGCUGUCGGCCAACA
This 425-nucleotide long non-coding RNA is filed under the name Salvia miltiorrhiza (redroot sage). RNAcentral describes it as "long non-coding RNA (SMIL_LNC010735)". Lineage: Eukaryota; Viridiplantae; Streptophyta; Magnoliopsida; Lamiales; Lamiaceae. The record is from RNAcentral.